AACGAACGCUGGCGGCGUGCCUAACACAUGCAAGUCGAACGAGAAAGUCCUUCGGGAUGAGUAGAGUGGCGCACGGGUGAGUAACACAUGGGAAUCGUGCCUAAUAGUGGUGGAUAACUGCGGGAAACUGCAGCUAAUACAGCAUAAUGUCUAAGGACGAAAGGGGGCCCCUUAAAAGGCUCUUGCUAAUAGAUCGGCCCAUGUCCCAUUAGCUAGUUGGCGGGGUAAAAGCCCACCAAGGCGACGAUGGGUAGCUGGUCUGAGAGGAUGAUCAGCCACACUGGAACUGAGACGCGGUCCAGACUCCUACGGGAGGCAGCAGUGGGGAAUUUUGCACAAUGGGGGAAACCCUGAUGCAGCAACGCCGCGUGAGUGAAGAAGGCCCUUGGGUUGUAAAGCUCUUUCGGCCGGGAAAAAGGAUCUACGUACUAAUACUCCGUAGGUUUGAUGGUACCGGAAGAAGAAGCACCUGCUAACUACGUGCCAGCAGCCGCCGCGG
RNAcentral lists this ribosomal RNA (499 nucleotides) under uncultured bacterium. Its description in RNAcentral is "partial 16S ribosomal RNA". It matches the Rfam family "Bacterial small subunit ribosomal RNA", at positions 29 to 523 of the family's 1533-position model. The record is from RNAcentral.